This 460-nucleotide non-coding RNA is filed under the name Perkinsus marinus ATCC 50983. RNAcentral describes it as "Eukaryotic small subunit ribosomal RNA". It matches the Rfam family "Eukaryotic small subunit ribosomal RNA", at positions 1347 to 1831 of the family's 1831-position model. Lineage: Eukaryota; Perkinsozoa; Perkinsida; Perkinsidae. The record is from Rfam by way of RNAcentral.
CCUGCUAAAUAGUUGCGCGAAACUUUAUGUUUCGUCGCUACUUCUUAGAGGGACUUUGUGUGUUUAACACAAGGAAGCUUGAGGCAAUAACAGGUCUGUGAUGCCUUAGAUGUUCUGGGCUGCACGCGCGCUACACUGACACGAUCAACAAGUAUUUCCUUGCCCGGUAGGGUUAGGGUAAUCUUUUGAAAUCGUGUCGUGCUAGGGAUAGACGAUUGCAAUUAUUCGUCUUCAACGAGGAAUUCCUAGUAAAUGCAAGUCAUCAGCUUGCGUUGAUUACGUCCCUGCCCUUUGUACACACCGCCCGUCGCUCCUACCGAUUGAGUGAUCCGGUGAGCUGUCCGGACUGCGAUUAGUUCAGUUUCUGUUCUCUUCGCGGGAAGUUCUGCAAACCUUAUCACUUAGAGGAAGGAGAAGUCGUAACAAGGUUUCCGUAGGUGAACCUGCGGAAGGAUCAUUC